UACGUAGGGUGCGAGCGUUAAUCGGAAUUACUGGGCGUAAAGCGUGCGCAGGCGGUUAUUUAAGUCAGGUGUGAAAGCCCUUGGCUUAACCGAGGAAGUGCAUCCGAAACUGGCGAGCUAGAGUACUAAAGAGGAUCGCGGAAUUCCCGGUGUAGAGGUGAAAUUCGUAGAUAUCGGGAGGAACACCGGUGGCGAAGGCGGCGAUCUGGGUAGAUACUGACGCUGAGGUGCGAAAGCGUGGGGAGCAAACAGG
Molecule: ribosomal RNA, 253 nt
Filed under: uncultured bacterium
Lineage: Bacteria
Description: partial 16S ribosomal RNA
Rfam family: Bacterial small subunit ribosomal RNA
Source: RNAcentral